UUCAUCUUUAUUACCAACUCGUAUAUAAACUAUAAGUAUAGAUUAACAAUUACACAUAUAUACAAUAAUACAACUGUCAGUUAGCAUGCAAAGGGGAUUUUUUUAUUGAAUACAGGCAGAUUUAUAACAUUUCUCAUGCAUAAUCAUAAAUACAAUGAUAAAAAAAAAAUGAAAUAUACUGCAUUCUAAACGAUUACAACUACAUCGAGUAAUGUGAUGUUGAAAUGUUUUAUGUUUCUAUUCAAGGAAAUCGAAUGUUGUUUUUUUAACUCAAUUAUCAAUUAUGAUCUUUUGCUCUAUUCAUUUGUUCAGUUAUAACUGUACUUGAUCCUUCCUGUCACUGUUUAUAACUAAAUGUUUAAAACAACUUCACUCUUUCUUCAACAGGCCAAGAACAUUUCUUGUAUUUUCAUAAAGUAUUAUUUAUACUGACAAAAAUCAGCAUCAUCGUCUCUAUCAUCAACAUCUAAGUCAUUAUCACAGAAUGAUAUUAUUUUUCAAUCUUUAUUCUUUUUUUUCUACAUUCUGGAAUAUAGUUGCUCCUAUAAUAUAUAAUAAGUUAUUGACUUUAAAUUGAGGCUCAAAUAUUAUAAUAUAUGUACAGUAAUAUUGUAUCAUGGAGAAGACGUCAUAAGUAUGAUUAACUAUGAAUAGCGUCACUGAUGAGGCUUAUGUAGACGAAACGCGCGUCUGGCGUAUUAAAUUAUAAUAUAUACUAGGGUCUCGUCCAUCUUUCUUUAAAGACGCAAAUUCAAUAUGAUUAAACUACGUCAGGUCACAUUAACACACAGAAAUAGCUGUUAUUUCAGCUGCAUUCAUCAGGGGUAUUGUUCGGUGAAAAAAAAAUAUGUAAAAAAAAAAGUGCAAACUAUAAAUUGCAUUUUGACAGAUUUGCAUGUAGAACUACGCAUUCAAGCGAUCACUAUGAUGACGUACAUAUAUCUAUACCCAUAUAUCAACAGUUGUAUAACUUUAACUGAUGAUAAUUGGUUAAGGAUGUUUGCUACACUGUUUUAAAAUAACAAGCUUUUUAAAAG
RNAcentral lists this long non-coding RNA (1037 nucleotides) under Mytilus galloprovincialis (Mediterranean mussel). Lineage: Eukaryota; Metazoa; Mollusca; Bivalvia; Mytilida; Mytilidae. The record is from RNAcentral.